UACGUAGGGGGCAAGCGUUAUCCGGAAUUACUGGGUGUAAAGGGAGCGUAGACGGUAAUGUAAGUCUGGAGUGAAAGGCGGGGGCCCAACCCCCGGACUGCUCUGGAAACUAUGUUACUAGAGUGCAGGAGAGGUAAGCGGAAUUCCUAGUGUAGCGGUGAAAUGCGUAGAUAUUAGGAGGAACACCAGUGGCGAAGGCGGCUUACUGGACGGCAACUGACGCUGAGGCUCGAAAGCGUGGGGAGCAAACAGG
This 253-nucleotide ribosomal RNA is filed under the name uncultured bacterium. RNAcentral's name for it is "partial 16S ribosomal RNA". It matches the Rfam family "Bacterial small subunit ribosomal RNA", at positions 524 to 776 of the family's 1533-position model. The record is from RNAcentral.